CAAAGUGGCCUGAGCAUGACUUCA
RNAcentral lists this non-coding RNA (24 nucleotides) under Cricetulus griseus (Chinese hamster). Lineage: Eukaryota; Metazoa; Chordata; Mammalia; Rodentia; Cricetidae. The record is from RNAcentral.